CAGUGGAUUGGGUUCCAUGGAA
Molecule: non-coding RNA, 22 nt
Filed under: Arabidopsis thaliana (thale cress)
Lineage: Eukaryota; Viridiplantae; Streptophyta; Magnoliopsida; Brassicales; Brassicaceae
Source: RNAcentral